AUGAACGCUGGCGGCGUGCCUAAUACAUGCAAGUCGAGCGAAUGGAUUGAGAGCUUGCUCUCAAGAAGUUAGCGGCGGACGGGUGAGUAACACGUGGGUAACCUGCCCAUAAGACUGGGAUAACUCCGGGAAACCGGGGCUAAUACCGGAUAACAUUUUGAACUGCAUGGUUCGAAAUUGAAAGGCGGCUUCGGCUGUCACUUAUGGAUGGACCCGCGUCGCAUUAGCUAGUUGGUGAGGUAACGGCUCACCAAGGCAACGAUGCGUAGCCGACCUGAGAGGGUGAUCGGCCACACUGGGACUGAGAUACGGCCCAAGACUUCUUACGGGAGGACAGCAGUGGGGAAUAUUGCACAAUGGGCGCAAAGCCUGAUGCAGCGACGCCGCGUGGGGGAUGACGGCCUUCGGGUUGUAAACCUCUUUCACCAUCGACGAAGGUCCGGGUUUUCUCGGAUUGACGGUAGGUGGAGAAGAAGCACCGGCCAACUACGUGCCAGCAGCCGCGGUUAAUACGUAUGGUGCGAGCGUUGUCCGGAAUUACUGGGCGUAAAGAGCUCGUAGGCGGCUUGUCGCGUCUGCUGUGAAAUCCCGGGGCUUAACCCCGGGCGUGCAGUGGAUACGGGCUGGCUGGAGGCAGGCAGGGGAGAAUGGAAUUCCCGGUGUAGCGGUGAAAUGCGCAGAUAUCGGGAGGAACACCGGUGGCGAAGGCGGUUCUCUGGGCCUGUUCUGACGCUGAGGAGCGAAAGCGUGGGGAGCGAACAGGAUUAGAUACCCUGGUAGUCCACGCCGUAAACGUUGGGCGCUAGGUGUGGGGUCCUUCCACGGGCUCUGUGCCGCAGCUAACGCAUUAAGCGCCCCGCCUGGGGAGUACGGCCGCAAGGCUAAAACUCAAAGGAAUUGACGGGGGCCCGCACAAGCGGCGGAGC
RNAcentral lists this ribosomal RNA (926 nucleotides) under uncultured bacterium. RNAcentral describes it as "bacterial SSU rRNA". It matches the Rfam family "Bacterial small subunit ribosomal RNA", at positions 29 to 938 of the family's 1533-position model. The record is from RNAcentral.